This 73-nucleotide transfer RNA is filed under the name Marmota monax (woodchuck). RNAcentral's name for it is "tRNA.Ala". It matches the Rfam family "tRNA". Rfam says of the family: Transfer RNA (tRNA) molecules are approximately 80 nucleotides in length. Their secondary structure includes four short double-helical elements and three loops (D, anti-codon, and T loops). Further hydrogen bonds mediate the characteristic L-shaped molecular structure. tRNAs have two regions of fundamental functional importance: the anti-codon, which is responsible for specific mRNA codon recognition, and the 3' end, to which the tRNAs corresponding amino acid is attached (by aminoacyl-tRNA synthetases). tRNAs cope with the degeneracy of the genetic code in two manners: having more than one tRNA (with a specific anti-codon) for a particular amino acid; and 'wobble' base-pairing, i.e. permitting non-standard base-pairing at the 3rd anti-codon position. Lineage: Eukaryota; Metazoa; Chordata; Mammalia; Rodentia; Sciuridae. The record is from RNAcentral.
UGUGGUUGUAGCUCAGUGGAAGAGCACAUGCUUAGCAUGUGUGAGGCACUGGGUUUGAUUCUCAGCAUCAUAU